This 253-nucleotide ribosomal RNA is filed under the name uncultured bacterium. RNAcentral's name for it is "partial 16S ribosomal RNA". It matches the Rfam family "Bacterial small subunit ribosomal RNA", at positions 524 to 776 of the family's 1533-position model. The record is from RNAcentral.
UACGUAGGUGGCAAGCGUUGUUCGGAAUUACUGGGCGUAAAGCGCGUGUAGGCGGCUCUUCAAGUCAGGCGUGAAAGCCCCGGGCUCAACCUGGGAAUGGCGAUGGAUACUGGCUCGCUAGAGUGCGGUAGAGGAGAGUGGAAUUCCCGGUGUAGCAGUGAAAUGCGUAGAGAUCGGGAGGAACAUCAGUUGCGAAGGCGGCUCUCUGGACCAGCACUGACACUGAGGCACGAAAGCGUGGGGAGCGAACAGG